Molecule: long non-coding RNA, 246 nt
Filed under: Mytilus galloprovincialis (Mediterranean mussel)
Lineage: Eukaryota; Metazoa; Mollusca; Bivalvia; Mytilida; Mytilidae
Source: RNAcentral
GGACAAACGCACGCAUAUUUACGGGACUGUCACACUACCGGAGGGAGCUACUCGAUUUAAGAUCCGAGGUUUAAUGACCUUGAUCCUAGUCUCAAUCACACCACGUGUAUAUAUGAGAGGGGAUCUAGUAAAAGAUUGGUGUGUGUAACAAUCUGCGAUACAGACUUUUGUAAUGGACCUCAGAUUGAUGGAGGAUCGAUAUUGCAGAUACAAAUAUGGCUGAACGUGUUAUGUGCUGCUGUUGUG